AUUGAACGCUGGCGGCAUGCUUUACACAUGCAAGUCGAACGGUAACAGGCCGCAAGGUGCUGACGAGUGGCGAACGGGUGCGUAAUGCAUCGGAACGUGCCCAGUCGUGGGGGAUAACUACUCGAAAGAGUAGCUAAUACCGCAUACGAUCUAUGGAUGACAGCGGGGGACCGUAAGGCCUCGCGCGAUUGGAGCGGCCGAUGUCAGAUUAGGUAGUUGGUGGGGUAAAGGCUCACCAAGCCAACGAUCUGUAGCUGGUCUGAGAGGACGACCAGCCACACUGGGACUGAGACACGGCCCAGACUCCUACGGGAGGCAGCAGUGGGGAAUUUUGGACAAUGGGCGCAAGCCUGAUCCAGCAAUGCCGCGUGCAGGAAGAAGGCCUUCGGGUUGUAAACUGCUUUUGUACGGAACGAAACGGCUCUGGUUAAUACCCGGGGCUAAUGACGGUACCGUAAGAAUAAGCACCGGCUAACUACGUG
This 482-nucleotide ribosomal RNA is filed under the name uncultured bacterium. RNAcentral's name for it is "partial 16S ribosomal RNA". It matches the Rfam family "Bacterial small subunit ribosomal RNA", at positions 30 to 507 of the family's 1533-position model. The record is from RNAcentral.